CUCAGGCUGAGUUUGAAAAAGCUGCUGAGGGUAUUAGGCACCUCAAGAUCAAGCUAAAGGAUGAUGAGAUGCUGUUGAUCUAAGAACAUUGCAACCAAGUGGCGUGGGCGACAUAAAUACAGAAAUACAGCAAGGCCAAAAGGGGUGUCUGGAAUAAACUGAAAGCAACGACCAAGAAUGACACCAUGAAAGCUUAGUCCACAAAGAAGCAUUCAAGAAAAACUAGAGACGGGAUUUG
This 238-nucleotide long non-coding RNA is filed under the name Homo sapiens (human). RNAcentral's name for it is "non-protein coding lnc-TUSC3-6:1". Lineage: Eukaryota; Metazoa; Chordata; Mammalia; Primates; Hominidae. The record is from RNAcentral.